GAUGAACGCUAGCGGCAGGCCUAAUACAUGCAAGUCGAACGAGAUUAAGAGGCUUGCUUCUUAUGAAAGUGGCGCACGGGUGCGUAACGCGUAUGCAACCUACCUUAAUCAGGGGGAUAGCCCGAAGAAAUUCGGAUUAAGACCGCAUAAAAACACAGGAUAGCAUUAUCCAAUGUUCAAAUAUUUAUAGGAUUAAGAUGGGCAUGCGUGUCAUUAGCUAGUUGGCGGGGUAACGGCCCACCAAGGCGACGCUGACUAGGGGAUCUGAGAGGAUGACCCCUCACAGUGGUACCGAGAAACGGACGAGACGCCUACGGGAGGGAGUCGUAAGGAAUAUUGGUCAAGGGAAGGAACUAUGAACCAGCCAUGCCGCGUGCAGGAAGACCGCCCUCUGGGUCGUAAACUGCUUUUAUUCGGGAAUAAACCUUUCUACGUGUAGGAAGCUGAAUGUACCGAAUGAAUAAGGAUCGGCUAACUACGUG
This 482-nucleotide ribosomal RNA is filed under the name uncultured bacterium. RNAcentral's name for it is "partial 16S ribosomal RNA". It matches the Rfam family "Bacterial small subunit ribosomal RNA", at positions 28 to 507 of the family's 1533-position model. The record is from RNAcentral.